RNAcentral lists this ribosomal RNA (408 nucleotides) under uncultured bacterium. RNAcentral's name for it is "partial 16S ribosomal RNA". It matches the Rfam family "Bacterial small subunit ribosomal RNA", at positions 28 to 526 of the family's 1533-position model. The record is from RNAcentral.
GACGAACGCUGGCGGCGUGCUUAACACAUGCAAGUCGAACGAAGUGGCGAACGGGUGAGUAACGCGUAAUCAACAUGCCCUUCAGAGGGGGACAACAGUUGGCAACGACUGCUAAUACCGCAUAAUGAAGGAGGGGGUUGCGGGUGCUUUGCUAGCUGGAGGGGUAACGGCCUACCAAGGCGAUGAUCAGUAUCCGGUUCGUGAGGAUUAACGGCCACCUUGGGACUGGGACACGGCCCCGACUCCUACGGGAGGCAGCCGGGGGGAAUCUUCCGACAUGGACGAAAGUCUGACGGAGCAACGCCGCGUGAGUGAUGACGGCCUUCGGGUUGUAAAGCUCUGUUAAUCGGGACGCGGUACCGGAAUAGAAAGCCACGGCUAACUACGUGCCAGCAGCCGCGGUAAUAC